UCCUCUUAACCAAGAAGUGUGAAGACACUGGUAUGGCAUAUAGGUGAGAUAUAGGAGUACAUCAUCAUCGAAUAAUGACUCAUCUACGGAGUGCUCUACUGUUAAGGAAAGCUCUCGAAGGAUAUGGGCAUAAGUAUCUCUCUAACCUGAGAUCACCAUGGUGACUUGCAAGCAAUUCACUAUGCUUUGGUGUCGGACUACCUAUAUUUCUAAUACAGUGAUGGAAGGCUACUGGGUACAGUCAAGUACUUAUGA
RNAcentral lists this long non-coding RNA (255 nucleotides) under Elaeis guineensis (African oil palm). RNAcentral's name for it is "long non-coding RNA (EGUI_LNC038525)". Lineage: Eukaryota; Viridiplantae; Streptophyta; Magnoliopsida; Arecales; Arecaceae. The record is from RNAcentral.